This 425-nucleotide ribosomal RNA is filed under the name uncultured bacterium. RNAcentral describes it as "partial 16S ribosomal RNA". It matches the Rfam family "Bacterial small subunit ribosomal RNA", at positions 354 to 796 of the family's 1533-position model. The record is from RNAcentral.
GUGGGGAAUAUUGGACAAUGGGCGCAAGCCUGAUCCAGCCAUGCCGCGUGAGUGAUGAAGGCCCUAGGGUUGUAAAGCUCUUUCACCGGUGAAGAUAAUGACGGUAACCGGAGAAGAAGCCCCGGCUAACUUCGUGCCAGCAGCCGCGGUAAUACGAAGGGGGCUAGCGUUGUUCGGAAUUACUGGGCGUAAAGCGCACGUAGGCGGACAUUUAAGUCAGGGGUGAAAUCCCGGGGCUCAACCCCGGAACUGCCUUUGAUACUGGGUGUCUGGAGUAUGGAAGAGGUAAGUGGAAUUCCGAGUGUAGAGGUGAAAUUUGUAGAUAUUCGGAGGAACACCAGUGGCGAAGGCGGCUUACUGGUCCAUUACUGACGCUGAGGUGCGAAAGCGUGGGGAGCAAACAGGAUUAGAUACCCGAGUAGUCC